AAUAAAGAAGCUUACCUAAAAGAAGGAAAUCAAAACAAGAUAAUCUACACUGCAACUAGGGGAGGCUAUUGAAUGUGAUGGUCCCCUCAGAUGCCUAGAGGAAGAUGAACAAUGGUAAUCAGAUAUCCUAAAGUUAUCUUUAGGGCACUGGCAAAAUAGCAGCAAUGCCUGGUGGAAGCUGACUUUGUGCAUACACAUGAGAGCCCACAGAAAACUUCAAACUUCAUGGAAAUAAAACCUUCAGCUGCAGCUAAGAAUUUGGAGGUUACUGAAGGAGGUUACUUUUUCAAGAGCAGAAGUAAGGAUUCCACUGAAUUUGCUCACCAAAGAUAAGUCAGCAAAGAAAACUUACUGAAGAAUACAGGAACAUAAAUCUUAAGCAGGCUUACAUAAGGAAGGGAAGUGGUUGAAUCUGAGGUAAUUCCAUGGUGGACUUUGAAGAAAGCCUUCCAUGAGUUCCCAGUCCAUAUCCUCCAAAAGGUUUCUUGGAUAUGCUUUAUUUAUGCCUAAUUUUCCAGUUUUCUCUUUAAUAUUGUGUGCUCUAAUAUUUUAUUCUCUCUCUUUUUUUUGCUUCACUUAGUUAGAAUUUCUUUCAGCCAAUGAAGAAUUCUAUUGAGAAGCAUGAAUCUGUAAUUUUGCAUAUUCCAGAAUAGUUAUGAUCUAAACAUUACAUCCUGCUGUAUCCCUAAGUACUUGA
Molecule: long non-coding RNA, 697 nt
Filed under: Homo sapiens (human)
Lineage: Eukaryota; Metazoa; Chordata; Mammalia; Primates; Hominidae
Description: non-protein coding lnc-ANXA1-1:1
Source: RNAcentral